Non-coding RNA from Prunus avium (sweet cherry), 10921 nucleotides. NCBI's taxonomy places the organism in Eukaryota, Viridiplantae, Streptophyta, Magnoliopsida, Rosales, Rosaceae. The record is from RefSeq and is a predicted model, not a curated record.
GCUGUUCCCUGAACGAAAGGGCGAUGGCGAUCAGGUUUCGUUUUGUGUAGAUUAUCGGAUUUUGUUGAUUCGCUUCUUCUGUUUGGGUUUGAUUUUAUGAUUUAGAUAUGGAUGGAUGGGUUUGAUUCUAUGAUUUAGAUAUAGAUGGAUUAAGUUUUGUUUAUCGCUAUGCUGUAGUGUUUGGGGAUGGAUUUUGCUACCGAUUAAAAGUGGAAUCUAAUGACCGUUGAAGGUUGUGACGAUAUGAAGAACCAGAGGUUGUGUGUAUUUGCAGGCUUGUUUUAUUGGUUCAGAUGAGACCCAAACAAGAUCGUCGAUCAUGGUGAAGUAGGUGUUUGGUAUGAAACUCCUUUGAAUUCGAUUUGGAUCUUCUAGUUGUUUUGUAUAGAUAGAAUUUGUUGAUUUGAGGCCGAAGUUCGUCUUUAUUGAUAUGCGUAUGUGUUUUGAUUGGCCUGAUGGUGAGAUGUGCCCUGAUGGUGAUGUGUGCCAGGGCAUCUAGUUCUGCUUGCGUUUUGAUUUGGACGGAAAACUGCAUGAUUUUGUUCUGAAGUUUAGAAUAUAAUGAUUUGGAAAUUUCCCUCGUUUUUUAUCAAUCAAAUAAGCGGAGCUUUGCUGUUAUUUUUCAGGCCUCGUUUUCGGUGUUUGACACACGAGGGUUAGAUGUUAUGGUUAGCUGAUAACUCCAUAGGUUCUUAUGGGAUCUGAUUGGAUGGCUAUGAGGUUGGAUUUUAUACUGUUUUGCGGAUGCAAUGGAAUGUUGAAUUUCAAAAUUGUCAAUCUGGAUCUAUUGAUUUGCAGGAGAUAUAGUAAUAGUGUCGCGGAUUUGAGCUUAUGUCUGCACCUUUUCAGUCUGUCUUUGGAUAGGGGUAGUGCACUCCAUUUGUAAAGGUUUUCAUUGGUUUGCUGCGUAUGGAUUAUUGUUUUUGGUUACGUGCUUAUUCUUUUACAGUUUGUCAAAAUGCACGUCUUUAUAUAUCUUUCAAGUCACUGAAAUUUGCAAGUAAUAUCAUGUUUAUGUCCUCCUUUUCCCUAUAAUCAUGCCGAACUUUCUGCUCUUAUAUUGACAGAUACUAAUUCCAGAAUUCGUGGGGUACAUUGUUAACCUUCUUAGUUCAUAGCCUUUCAUUUCGAUGUGUUUCUUGUUUCUUGGGUAUGUUCUAAACGGGUUUUUAUGUCCUCAGUUUUGGCUUUCUAUUGAUUUUCUCAGUUGGAAUGAAAGGGUCUAUUUUAAUUUCUUCUUAUCUCAAAGAUAUAGUAAUUGUUUUUUUUCAAAGAUAUAAAAUUAUUCAAUGUUUUGAUUACAGACCCCGAGUAUUUCUCACUUACCUCUUUAUUCCCAUGUAUGGUCUAUAUAUUUUGCUUUAUGGUCUUUGAGCUAUUAAUAAUUACAACCAAAAGUGGUUUGGCGCUUAUCUUUUAGCGUUAUGUUUUUUUAAAGUUUGUUCAUUUCUAUGGUUGCCAUUGCAUAUAUUUGGGCUUCGAAUUUGUAUAGCAGUGUGGUUAGGUAUUGUCUUGAUGAUUCACUAAUUUUGUGAUUAAAGUGCUUAUGGAGACUAAGUUGGAUGGAGCUAAAAGUUUAGGACACUGUUAUGGGAGCUAUUCUGGUUUGGUUAACAUGUUAAAUCUUUUUCUUUUAAUUUUUUAAUUUUUUUUUUAUACAAGUGUCUCUCUCUCUCUCUCACCCUAAAAUUAAUAUUAGGUACUAUGUAUUUUUCAGGUUUCUUCCAUUUGUUUCGAAUUGGCAUACUACCUAAGAGGGGGUUUAAUGCUGUUCCCUUUCGUUUCCCUUUUAAAAUUUUUAUUAAAUUUGGUAUUGAUUUUUUAGCAAUAUCUUAUGUAGAUGCAACCUAAUUUUUGUCUUAGGGACAAAGUUAUACCAUGGGGAAACGUUUUGAGAGCUCAAGGCUGCUUGUUUUGUUUGUUACCCUUCGUUGGUUUCUUAUUUUUGUUACUUGUUCAAUAUCGUGAAUUAUUUGGUCUGUCUUUAUGUUGGUGUCUUGCUUUAGUCCACAUUAUGUAGUGAUUAUCAGGAUUUUGAACAGUUCCUGGGGUUACCUUGUUUGCUGAUGUUUUGCAGGAAUUUGGUUUUAACGCCACAGUUAAUGAAGGAAUUGGAAUUAGGUUAUUGGGAGAAAAUGUUAAAUCCUUUAUCUCUCAAGUUUUUUAAACUUUUUAUACGUCUCUCUAUCUUUCUGUCUAUUUCACUCCUUAAUUAAUAUUAUGUAUUAUGUAUUUUUCAGGUUUCUUAUGUUGGGUUUGAAUUGACGUACUACCUAAGAGGGGGUUUAAUGUUGUUGCCAUUUGUUUCCCAUUCCAGAAAUUUAUUACAUUUGGUGCUGUUUUUUUAGCAAUAUCUUACCUUAAUUCUUGUCUUAGGGACAAAGUUUUACCUGGGGGCACGGGUUUGAGAGAUCAAGGCCACUGGUUUUUUUUGUUCACCUUCCUUGGAUUCAUAUUUUCGUUACGUGUUCAAUAUCUUGAAUACUGUUUUCUGUCUUUCCAUUGAUGUCUUGCUUUAGUCCACAUUAUGUAGUGAUUAUCAGGAUUUUGAGCAGUUACUGCAGUUGCCUUGUUUGGUGAUGGUUUUUUUUUCUCUUAUUUAUUUUUAAAAUUUUAUACAAGUCUCUCUCUCUCUCUCUCUCAAUAUCUCUGUAUUUCACCCCUAAAUUGGUCAGGUAUUAUGUAUUUAACAGGUUUCUUCUGUUGGGUUUGAAUUGACUUACUACAAUAAAAGGGGUUUAAUGAUGUUUCUUUUUUGUUUCCCAUUUCAUUUUUUUUAUUUAUACAUUUGGUAUUGUUAUUAUAGCAAAUAUCUUAUGUAGUUGCACCCUAAUUCUUGUCUUAGGGACAGAGUUUCGUCUGGGCGCACCAGUUUGAGAGCUGAAGGCCGCUGGUUUUGUUUGUUCACUUUCCUUGGUUUCUUAUUUUUGUUACUUGUUCAAUAUUGUGAAUUUUGUGGUCUGUUUUCCGUCGAUGUCUUGCUUUAGUCCACAUUAUGUAGUGAUUGCAUUUGCAUUGUUUGGUGAUUUGUUUUGUAGGAAUUUGGUUUUAGAUGUUUACGCCUCAGUUAAUUGGAAGUGGAAAUAGGUUAUUGGGAGAAUAUGUUUGCGUUUGGUUUUUGAUGAAAUUGUUUAAUUCUCUACUUGUUCAAUGUCCUAAAUUAUUGUGAGAACAUGUUAAAUAUUUUAAGAUUUAUAUAAGUCUCUCUCUCUCUCUCUCUCUCUCUCUCUUCCCCCUAAAUUAAUAUUAGGUAUUAUGUAUUUUUCAGGGUUCUUCUGUUGGGUUUGAUUCGACUUACUACCUUAGAGGGGGUUUAAUGCUGUUGCCUUUUGUUUCCCAUUUCAAAAAUUUAUUACAUUUGGUGAUGUUAUUUUAGCAACAUCUUAUGUAGAUGCACCUUAAUUCUUGUCUUAGGGACAAAGUUUCACCUGGGGGCACCGGUUUGAGAACUCAAAGCCGCUGGUUUCUUCUGUCGGGUUUGAAUUGACAUGCUACCUAAGAAGGGGUUUAUUGUUGUUGCCUUUUGUUUUACAUUUCAAAAAUUUAUUACAUUCGGUGCUUGUUAUUUUAGCAAUAUCUUAUGUAGAUGCACCCUAAUUCUUGUCUUAGGGACAAAGUUUCAACUUGGUGCACGGGUUUGAGUGGAGUUCAAGGCUGCUGGUUUUUAUUCACCCUUCUUGGUUUAUGGGGGGAUAUUUUCAAAAUCACCAUCAAUCUUAUUAAUCUUUUUUUUCUUCGUUUGAAGAUAUAAUAUUAUGUCCCUUACUUCCUUCUGUGCUGCCAUGUAUUUGUUCGAUAUAUGUUGCUUUAUGGUCUUUAAGCUAUUAGAUAAUUACUGCCAAACAGUGCUUAAGCCUUUAUGUUUUGUCUUCCUUUCGUUGGUUUAUUUCUAAGGUUGUCAUUCCAUAUAUUUGGUCUCCCAAAUUGUAUAGCAGUCUGGUUUGACAUUCUCUUAAUGAUGAUUCCCUAUUUUCGUGAUUUGAUGCGUAUGGAGAGUUGGUUGCAUUUAAUGUUUUUGACUCUGUUGUGGGGAGCAAUUCUGGUUUGGUUUCUUAACAAGAUCGUGUUAACUUCCUACUUUUAAAUUCUCUCUCUCUCUCUCUCUCUCUCUCUCUCUCUCUCUCUCUCUUACCCCCUAAAUGAAUAUUGGGUACUUUGUAUUUUUCAGGUUUCUUCUGUGGGGUUCUAAUUGACAUACCAUUUAAGAGGGGGUUUAAUUCUUCUUUCCUUUUGUUUAAUUUCCCAUCUUAAGGAUUUGUAAGAUUUAGUGCUGUUAUUUAGCAAUAUCUGAAGUAGAUGCAUCCUAAUUCUUGUCUUAGGGACAAAGUUUUCCUUGGGGCAUGGGAAUGAAUUGAGCUCAUGGGUGCUGGUUUUGUUUAUUCACCCUUCUUACUUUCUUGUUUCUUUUACAUGUUCAAUAUCGGUGAAUUAGAUUUUGAGUAGCUUCUGCAGUUGCCUUAUUGACCCUGUUUGCUUUCUUAUUUCUGUUACAUGUUCAAUAUCAUGAAUUCUGUGGUUGUCUUUCCUUUCGUGUCUUAUGCAGUGCAUCUAUUGCUUAAGUCCAGAGAUUUUGAGGAGCUUCUGCAGUUGUUCUAUUUGGUGAAUUUUUGCAGGAAUUUGGUUUUAAAGAAUUCUGUUGCAGUUAGUUCUUGGCUUGUAAUUUAAUUUCUUAUUUCUUUGAUGUCUGGAACCAUUCGUUUAUGCAGAUUGCAAAUCUUAUCUGUCUAUGGAAUCUCACUCUCCGUUGAAUAAAAAUGGGUUGCCUAACUAUAAGAGGGGUCUUUUAUCUGAUCUUUUUUAUUCGUACCGUCUGUAUAAUGUGGGGCACAUUGUCUGAGCUAUAUUUCUGCCUGCAGGCGUAUCCUAACUCGUGUCUGUAUGUGGAGGUCUCACUUUCUCGAACAAGUUUUAAGAAGGGGUUUGAGUAGCUUUUGGCUUAUGAUUUUGUUUCUUAUUUCUUGGUAUUUAUGAAGUAUGGAACCAUUAUUUGAGCACUCUUUUAUGCAGAUGCAUCCCAACACUUGUCGGUUGCUGGAGUCUCACACUGUUGAAAGAAAAAAAGGGGUUUUCUGAGUUGUUAUCUGAUUUUAUAUGAUUGGAGCCCGUAUGACAUCCUAAGACAUUUUUUGCUCAAUGUCUUUAUAUGCAGACCAUUACACUGGUCUUCUUGUGGGGUCUGAUUCCUUGAAGUAGAACGAGCUGCUUUUAAGAAAGGGUUUGAGUGGUUCUCUGUUUAUGAUUUAACUUCUUACAUGAGCCAUUAUUUGAGUAAUGUUUUCUCUUAGAGUUUGAUGCAUCUUGUGUAUUGGUGAAGAGUUUAUAAGAUCUGGUACAAUUGUUGGAGCAAUAUUCUAUGCAGAUGCAAUUUAACUCGCAUGUGCGUAUCCUAACUCGUGUCUAUAUAUGGAGGUCUCACUUUCUCGAACGAGUUUUAAGAAGGGGUUUGAGUAGCUUUUGGCUUAUGAUUUUGUUUCUUAUUUCUUGGUAUUUAUGAGGUAUGGAACCAUUAUUUGAGCACUCUUUUAUAUGCAUUCCAACGCUUGUCAGUUGCUGGAGUCUCACAUUGUGGAAAGAAAAAAAGGGGUUUUUUGAGUUAUUAUCUGAUUUUAUAUUAUUGGAGCCCAUAUGACAUCCUGAGACAUUUUUGCUCUGUCUUUAUAUGCAGACCAUUACACUUGUCUUCUUGUGGGGUUCCUUGAAGUAGAACGAGCUGCUUUUUAAGAAAGGGUUUGAGUGGUUCUCUGCUUAUGAUUUAACUUCUUACAUGAGCCAUUAUUUGAGUAAUGUUUUCUUUUAGAGUUUGAUGCAUCUUGUGUAUUGGUGAAGAGUUUAUAAGAUCUGGUACAAUUGUUGGAGCAAUAUUCUAUGCAGAUGCCAUUUAACUCGCAUGUGUAUGAAGUCUUUCUUUGUUUAAGGAGAGCUGGGGUUCUUUUAUAUGAUCUUUUUUAUUCGUACCGUCUGUAUAAUGUGGGGCACAUUGUCUGAGCUAUCUUUCUGCCUGCAGGCGUAUCCUAACUCGUGUCUAUAUAUGGAGGUCUCACUUUCUCGGACGAGUUUUAAGAAGGGGUUUGAGUAAUUUUUGGCUUAUGAUUUUUUUCUUAUUUCUUGGUGUUUAUGAGGUAUGGAACCAUUAUUUGAGCACUCUUUUAUAUGCAUUCCAACGCUUGUCAGUUGCUGGAGUCUCACAUUGUGGAAAGAAAAAAAGGGGUUUUUUGAGUUAUUAUCUGAUUUUAUAUUAUUGGAGCCCGUAUGACAUCCUGAGACAUUUUUUGCUCAAUGUCUUUAUAUGCAGACCAUUACACUUGUCUUCUUGUGGGGUCUGUCUGAUUCCUUGAAGUAGAACAAGCUGCUCUUAAGAAAGGGUUUGAGUGGUUCUCUGUUUAUGAUUUAGCUUCUUACAUGAGCCAUUAUUUGAAUAAUGUUUUCUUUUAGAGUGAUGCAUCUUGUGUAUUGAUGAAGAGUUUAUAAGAUCUGGUACCAUUGUUGGAGCAAUAUUCUUUGCAGAUGCAAUUUAACUCGCAUGUGUAUGAAGUCUUACUUUGUUUAAGGAGAGCAGGGGGUCUUUUAUCUGAUCUUUUUUAUUCGUACCGUCAGUAUAAUGUGGGGCACGUUGUCUGAGCUAUAUUUCUGCCUGCAGGCGUAUCCUAACUCGUGUCUAUAUAUGGAGGUCUCACUUUCUCGAACGAGUUUGAAGAAGGGGUUUGAGUAGUUUUGGCUUAUGAUUUUGUUUCUUAUUUCUUGGUAUUUAUGAGGUAUGGAACCAUUAUUUGAGCACUCUUUUAUGCAGAUGCAUCCCAACACUUGUUGGUCGCUGGAGUCUCACUGUUGAAAGAAAAAAAGGGGUUUUCUGAGUUGUUAUCUGAUUUUAUAUUAUUGGAGCCCGUAUGACAUCCUGAGACAUUUUUUGCUCCAUGUCUUUAUAUGCAGACCAUUACACUUGUCUUCUUGUGGGGUCUGAUUCCUUGAAGUAGAACGAGCUGCUUUUAAGAAAGGGUUUGAGUGGUUCUCUGUUUAUGAUUUAACUUCUUACAUGAGCCAUUAUUUGAGUAAUGUUUUCUUUUAGAGUUUGAUGCAUCUUGUGUAUUAGUGAAGAGUUUAUAAGAUCUGGUACAAUUGUUGGAGCAAUAUUCUAUGCAGAUGCAAUUUAACUCGCAUGUGUAUUAAGUCUUACUUUGUUUAAGGAGAGCAGGGGUGCUUCUAUAUGCAGACACAUCCUAACUCGUCUUAUACAUGGAGUCCAACAUUGUUGACACAGAAGAGCUUCUUCCAAGAGGCGGUUUCUUGUCUUAUUAUCUAUUUUCUAGUCUGGAGAUUGUAUAUGAUCUUGGGCCAUGAUUUGCACCAUUACUUUCCAUUCUAUGCAGAUCAUCUCGUCUGUAUAUGGGGUCCAACUUUGUUGAAGGAAAUCGCUUUUAAGAGGGAGUUGAGUAUUAUAGCCUUAUGAUUUAUUUUCUUCUUGGGUUGAUGAGAUUCGACACUUUCAUUUGGCAUUCUUUUGUGCAGAUGUAUCGUAGCUCUGCUUUGUUUCUGGAUCUUUUUCCACAGAUGUUGGGCUUUGUUGAUUUUUGUCUUGUGCUUUAAUGUCUCAGUUUUUAAGGAGUUAUGAGAUGCAUCCUUGUUCUUGUGUGUGAACCAGUGGAACUUAAUUCAUGACUGGACUAAUUUCUUAAGGAGGGUAUGAUGCGUCUGAUCUUUGUUGUGGCUCUCUUUUUCGAGGAGGGUUUUAGGAGUUCAAUUUCAAGUUAAUGUUAAUGGCGAAACCUCAGGAACAAGUGUCAUGCUGAGUUUUGUUUUCCUUUUAUUCAAUUCUGUAUGCUGAACCUUUGGGCAAUUCUUCAGUCAUUGUCUCAUGCAGAUGCUCGUUAAGUCUUACUUGAGUUACGUUGAUGAGGAUGAUUUUUUGAGUGACAAUCAGAACUUGUGGCACGGCGCCUGGUUUUUCAUCCACUGCCUUCUUGUUUUCUUGUUACCUACAUUUCUUUUCAACUGGUGAUAUGUUAUGAUGUUGUCAAUGUUUUUUGCUGUAGUUCAUGGAUUUUCCUGUGCGGAAGUUUUGUAGCUCGGAGUCUUACUUGGAUCUCCGUUGAUUCCUUGAGAAACAGACUCCACAUUUGGUUUCUUAUUCAUGGUCUUAUUUCAUAGGGUCUAUCCUUCCUGGCUUGAUAGUUCAACAUAUUCUUAUGGGUGAUGGGUUCCUAUUUUUUUAUUUAACUUAAUAUUCUUCUCUCAAAAUUUACUUUAUUUCUGUUUUUCAAAAGAUUAACUUAUUAAAGAUUUUGAAUUUUGUGUAGGGGCCUCAAGAUCCUUAAUUAAUUCACACAUUUUAAGGUUCGGCAGAUGCUUGUCUUUAUUGGUAUUGCUGUUUUGGUCUGUUUAAAUGUCUGUUUUGUCUGGUUGAAGGUGGAUUCAAUGCAGUCUGUUCAGCUUUGUGCAAUACUUUGGCCAUUCAGGGUUGGAUAUUUGUUCGUGCUUCUCUCUUUUUUCCCCUCUUUGACCUUUUCAGAAGGGCACUUGUUAAGAUAUUUGGUCGUUCAUUUGAUAUUUUAUUUCUGAGUGUAUAUGAUCUGGCACCACCAUUUGAUCUCAUGCAAUGUGUUUGCAGUUGCAACCUAACUUGUCUUUUACUGGAGUCGCACUUUGUCAGAACCUAGAACAUCUCUUUUUAGGGGUGGUUUUAUGUUCCUUUGCUUGCGAUUUAGUUUUUUGUAGACCAUAAAUGUGGCAUUUUUGAGCAAAUGUAUUAUGCAAAUUCAUUUCGCAUCUUUUUUACUUGAUUACAUAUUAAUGGAAUGGGUAAUCAAGCAAACUAACGGAAUCAUGGAUUUGGGCAUGUGCGACAAUCAAGAGGAAUGGGAGUUGCCUUUGUAGAGUGUACGUCUUUCCUUUUGGUCUUGUCUUCAUUGGAAUGUGGACUGCUUUUAGUAGUGUCCUGUGCUUCUUGGCUGACCAUUCUUCUUGGAUAUUGGGUCUGUAUAUUGUCAGCUUGCUCUUGAGGCCUGGGAGAAUGGGGAUGCUUUUAAGAGGUGUCUGGUACUUCCUGGCGUAUGGUCUAUUUUUGUUAGAUUUUGUCAGAUAUGAUUUGAGCAAAAAGUUUUGUGCAGCAACAUUUGUCUCUUAGGAGGGAGUGGGAAUGUGGUAUGCAGAUUGACGUCUUUGGAUGCAGUGAAGUAUCAUUGGACCGUAGAGCAGCACUUGCUGACACAUAAACUGAGUAUGACUUUGAUCUUCGUUGAUGGAACUGUUUUGUGAUGGGUCGUGAGAUUUGAUUUUGUCUUUUACAUAGUAUCUUUUUUCCAAUAUGUUUCGAAGUUUUAUUCAAUGAUCUCGUUUUAGCUGAGGUUCACUGAUGUUCAGGUUGAUCUGAUUGAUUUGGCAGCUGAAAUGGAUAGGAUGACUUGUUUUCAUUGUCUUUGGAUUUCAGCAUUUCCGAUCUUAAUUAGCUCACUUCUAUGUCUUGCUCGAUUUUUCCAGACUAUGGGCUGAGGUGUUGGAGGUGGUGGUUUGUGGUCUGCUAAAGGGUUUGGCUUUUGUCUUAAACAUAGAGACCUGUUGGCAUCUUUCGGUGUGAGUGCCUGGUUUGCUUUUGCUGGUUGUUUUGUUGUGGCAUGUUGCUUUUUCAUUCUGGCAGGCUGAAGUUGCUCAAGUUCGUGAUGGAUCAGUAUGUUGGAUAAUUGAAAUUUCCGUGCAGAGUAGUCCAUUGUAGAAGGAAGGGUUUUUAAGCUUGAAGUGUGCUGAUCCGUUUAGGUUACACAUGGUGUAUGCUUUUGUGUAUCAUUUGAUUUGUUAGUUUCAUCAGCUGAUAGUCAAUACUUUUUUCUAUAACUGUUCCUUUAUAUAGAUUUUGUGUUCAUUUGAGUGGCUUGAUAGGAUCUGCCGUUCUUUUCUUCACUUGGUGCUUCUCAUGCAUAGUCCAACUUAUUGAACAAUGCAUUGUGACACUGUUUCUAUGAUCAAUUUGACAUUUUAAAAGGAUUUGAGUAUUAAUUAUAUUGUUCAUUGUUUCUUUUAUUGGUUCAAUAAUGCUGUGGUUGAGCGUUAUUCCCAGCUGGUUGCUAAUCCAAAAAUGUGAAUGUGAGUCGUGCUUUAAUGCAUGCAUAGCUUAUUUUGGAUCUUGCAAAAACCUACAAUAUAACAAUGAACAAAUAUGCUUUAGCUGGAUUUUAAGCUCGUGAAGUGUGGAAGGGAUGAGGUCCUCUGAGAGAUUGCACUAAAUGUGAUACUUAUCUCUAAUUUAUGACUAAGUAAUUAACUUACAAAGAGAACAUGUAAUGUAUUGAAAGAAUAUAGCCCUGGUUUGUCAUUGUGGAAUGAGCCCUUUACAAAAAUUAACUAACAUUUCUCGAGUAGUUUUUCUUUUUGGAUAUUUGAAGUAUAUGUGUUAUAUGAGUUUUUGAAGUACUUUGUACAUUUGAACUAUGACAUUGUUUUGUUGUUUACUGUUUAUCAAUUGUGUAAUGUCAACUUCUUGGUAGCUUUUUCUCUUUUAGAUUUGUUUGGCUUUUAGUAUGAUGGUUAUGUUAUGUGCAUUGCUUUGUCUUUAGCUGCUGUCUGUUGUGUGUAUUUGUGUUUAGUUAGUUAGGUUUAAAGGGAUGUAGCUCAAAAUGGUAGAGCUCUCAGCUUGUAACCUGUAUGAACAAGUUACAACACUUACGAGAAGAUCAAGGUUCAAAUCCUUGCGUCCCUGCACCCCAACAUAUUUGAUAGUUUUUGACCUGCAUGUCGAUGGACUCGGAGAAUCUAAACCCUUGCCUCUCUAUCUGUGGUGCGGAUGCUGUCGGUAGCUGACUAAAAUGGUGGUUUGGAUUAUCUGUGGUCUUGGGAACCUGAAUUGGCUGAUGUGGUAAUGCCCCACCACCAAUUUUUGAUGUGCAACAAUUCAUAUUCCAUUGACUUAAAAUUAUUAGGACCGCUCUAUCUCUCA